Mugil cephalus (flathead mullet) is the source of this 496-nucleotide long non-coding RNA. RefSeq lists it as uncharacterized. The record is from RefSeq and is a predicted model, not a curated record. The transcript is spliced from 2 exons. Lineage: Eukaryota; Metazoa; Chordata; Actinopteri; Mugiliformes; Mugilidae.
GGAACUAACGGAGAUUGUGUGCCAAGUGUCCAUCGUCGGGUCGACGAUGCAAGGUGGAGGGGGUGGAAUGUAGCAGCAUAUAAUUAUGCGGCUGGGCGUGGCCAGGAGCCAAUUAUGAUGGGGUCGUGGAUAAAAGAGCGGCCCCUCCUACGCCUCCUCCCUCUGUCUCCCGCUGGCGUAAUUUCCGGGACGUCCUGUGUGGCUGCAACAGGGGCUGUGGGUGGAUUCUGGCUCCAUGUGGUCUCCUUGUCUGGGGCUGACGGCCUGUAGUGGUGUGGGUGAUCGUAGGAGAUCCUCCUGUCUGCUGUGCCGUUUCCAGGGAUGUGGGUCGUUCACGGGUGUGCUCUUUUCACGUGUGUCUUGGGGAACUUUUACUUUGGGGACCCCUCCUUUCGCUUGCCCUAGCUACUUUUAGGCCGAAGCCCUUGAUUAACUUUUGUUUUUGCAUUUUCUUUUGUUUGGAUCCUUUGUAUUAAUAAAAUAUUAUUGUGACUAA